GGGUUGUGAGGUUAAGCGACUAAGCGUACACGGUGGAUGCCCUGGCAGUCAGAGGCGAUGAAGGGCGUACUAAUCUGCGAUAAGCGCCGGUAAGGUGAUAUGAACCGUUAUAACCGGCGAUACCCGAAUGGGGAAACCCAGUGUGAUUCGUCACACUAUCAUUAACUGAAUCCAUAGGUUAAUGAGGCGAACCGGGGGAACUGAAACAUCUAAGUACCCCGAGGAAAAGAAAUCAACCGAGAUUCCCCCAGUAGCGGCGAGCGAACGGGGAGGAGCCCAGAGCCUGAAUCAGCAUGUGUGUUAGUGGAAGCGUCUGGAAAGGCGCGCGAUACAGGGUGACAGCCCCGUACACAAAAGCGCAUGUGCUGUGAGCUCGAUGAGUAGGGCGGGACACGUGGUAUCCUGUCUGAAUAUGGGGGGACCAUCCUCCAAGGCUAAAUACUCCUGACUGACCGAUAGUGAACCAGUACCGUGAGGGAAAGGCGAAAAGAACCCCGGCGAGGGGAGUGAAAAAGAACCUGAAACCGUGUACGUACAAGCAGUGGGAGCACAGGUUUACCUGUGUGACUGCGUACCUUUUGUAUAAUGGGUCAGCGACUUAUAUUCUGUAGCAAGGUUAACCGAAUAGGGGAGCCGGAGGGAAACCGAGUCUUAAUUGGGCGUUAAGUUGCAGGGUAUAGACCCGAAACCCGGUGAUCUAGCCAUGGGCAGGUUGAAGGUUGGGUAACACUAACUGGAGGACCGAACCGACUAAUGUUGAAAAAUUAGCGGAUGACCUGUGGCUGGGGGUGAAAGGCCAAUCAAACCGGGAGAUAGCUGGUUCUCCCCGAAAGCUAUUUAGGUAGCGCCUCGUGAAUUCAUCUCCGGGGGUAGAGCACUGUUUCGGCUAGGGGGCCAUCCCGGCUUACCAACCCGAUGCAAACUGCGAAUACCGGAGAAUGUUAUCACGGGAGACACACGGCGGGUGCUAACGUCCGUCGUGAAGAGGGAAACAACCCAGACCGCCAGCUAAGGUCCCAAAGUCAUGGUUAAGUGGGAAACGAUGUGGGAAGGCCCAGACAGCCAGGAUGUUGGCUUAGAAGCAGCCAUCAUUUAAAGAAAGCGUAAUAGCUCACUGGUCGAGUCGGCCUGCGCGGAAGAUGUAACGGGGCUAAACCAUGCACCGAAGCUGCGGCAGCGACACUGUGUGUUGUUGGGUAGGGGAGCGUUCUGUAAGCCUGCGAAGGUGGCCUGUGAGGGUUGCUGGAGGUAUCAGAAGUGCGAAUGCUGACAUAAGUAACGAUAAAGCGGGUGAAAAGCCCGCUCGCCGGAAGACCAAGGGUUCCUGUCCAACGUUAAUCGGGGCAGGGUGAGUCGACCCCUAAGGCGAGGCCGAAAGGCGUAGUCGAUGGGAAACGGGUUAAUAUUCCCGUACUUGGUGUUACUGCGAAGGGGGGACGGAGAAGGCUAUGUUGGCCGGGCGACGGUUGUCCCGGUUUAAGCGUGUAGGUGUGUGUUCCAGGUAAAUCCGGUUCACUUUAACACUGAGGCGUGACGACGAGGCACUACGGUGCUGAAGCAACAAAUGCCCUGCUUCCAGGAAAAGCCUCUAAGCAUCAGGUAACAUCAAAUCGUACCCCAAACCGACACAGGUGGUCAGGUAGAGAAUACCAAGGCGCUUGAGAGAACUCGGGUGAAGGAACUAGGCAAAAUGGUGCCGUAACUUCGGGAGAAGGCACGCUGACACGUAGGUGAAGUGAUUUACUCAUGGAGCUGAAGUCAGUCGAAGAUACCAGCUGGCUGCAACUGUUUAUUAAAAACACAGCACUGUGCAAACACGAAAGUGGACGUAUACGGUGUGACGCCUGCCCGGUGCCGGAAGGUUAAUUGAUGGGGUCAGCGCAAGCGAAGCUCCUGAUCGAAGCCCCGGUAAACGGCGGCCGUAACUAUAACGGUCCUAAGGUAGCGAAAUUCCUUGUCGGGUAAGUUCCGACCUGCACGAAUGGCGUAAUGAUGGCCAGGCUGUCUCCACCCGAGACUCAGUGAAAUUGAACUCGCUGUGAAGAUGCAGUGUACCCGCGGCAAGACGGAAAGACCCCGUGAACCUUUACUAUAGCUUGACACUGAACAUUGAGCCUUGAUGUGUAGGAUAGGUGGGAGGCUUUGAAGUGUGGACGCCAGUCUGCAUGGAGCCGACCUUGAAAUACCACCCUUUAAUGUUUGAUGUUCUAACGUGGACCCGUUACCCGGGUUGCGGACAGUGUCUGGUGGGUAGUUUGACUGGGGCGGUCUCCUCCUAAAGAGUAACGGAGGAGCACGAAGGUUGGCUAAUCCUGGUCGGACAUCAGGAGGUUAGUGCAAUGGCAUAAGCCAGCUUGACUGCGAGCGUGACGGCGCGAGCAGGUGCGAAAGCAGGUCAUAGUGAUCCGGUGGUUCUGAAUGGAAGGGCCAUCGCUCAACGGAUAAAAGGUACUCCGGGGAUAACAGGCUGAUACCGCCCAAGAGUUCAUAUCGACGGCGGUGUUUGGCACCUCGAUGUCGGCUCAUCACAUCCUGGGGCUGAAGUAGGUCCCAAGGGUAUGGCUGUUCGCCAUUUAAAGUGGUACGCGAGCUGGGUUUAGAACGUCGUGAGACAGUUCGGUCCCUAUCUGCCGUGGGCGCUGGAGAACUGAGGGGGGCUGCUCCUAGUACGAGAGGACCGGAGUGGACGCAUCACUGGUGUUCGGGUUGUCAUGCCAAUGGCACUGCCCGGUAGCUAAAUGCGGAAGAGAUAAGUGCUGAAAGCAUCUAAGCACGAAACUUGCCCCGAG
Molecule: ribosomal RNA, 2789 nt
Filed under: Salmonella enterica subsp. enterica serovar Enteritidis
Lineage: Bacteria; Pseudomonadati; Pseudomonadota; Gammaproteobacteria; Enterobacterales; Enterobacteriaceae
Description: partial 23S ribosomal RNA
Rfam family: Bacterial large subunit ribosomal RNA
Source: RNAcentral